GUCUAUGGCCAUGCCACCCUGAACAAGCCUAAUCCUGUCUGAUUUUGGAAGCUAAGCAGAGUCAGGCCUAGUUAGUAUUUGGAUGGGAGACCAUCUAGGAAGACCAGGUACUCUAGGCG
RNAcentral lists this ribosomal RNA (119 nucleotides) under Pteropus alecto (black flying fox). The record is from RNAcentral. Lineage: Eukaryota; Metazoa; Chordata; Mammalia; Chiroptera; Pteropodidae.